UUCUGCGAGUAACGUCCACUAUCUGAAGGUAUUAACUUCAGUAGCCUCCUCCUCGCUUAAAGUGCUUUACAACCAUAAGGCCUUCUUCACACACGCGGCAUGGCUGGAUCAGGCUUGCGCCCAUUGUCCAAUAUUCCCCACUGCUGCCUCCCGUAG
RNAcentral lists this ribosomal RNA (156 nucleotides) under uncultured Acinetobacter sp. RNAcentral's name for it is "partial 16S ribosomal RNA". Lineage: Bacteria; Pseudomonadati; Pseudomonadota; Gammaproteobacteria; Moraxellales; Moraxellaceae. The record is from RNAcentral.